RNAcentral lists this transfer RNA (87 nucleotides) under Candidatus Chromulinivorax destructor. RNAcentral's name for it is "Candidatus Dependentiae bacterium (ex Spumella elongata CCAP 955/1) tRNA-Leu". It matches the Rfam family "tRNA". From Rfam's summary of the family: Transfer RNA (tRNA) molecules are approximately 80 nucleotides in length. Their secondary structure includes four short double-helical elements and three loops (D, anti-codon, and T loops). Lineage: Bacteria; Candidatus Babeliae; Candidatus Babeliales; Candidatus Chromulinivoracaceae. The record is from RNAcentral.
GCCGAGGUGGCGAAACUGGUAGACGCACGGGACUCAAAAUCCCGCGAUAGCAAUAUCAUGUCGGUUCGAGUCCGACCCUCGGCACCA